This 733-nucleotide long non-coding RNA is filed under the name Homo sapiens (human). RNAcentral's name for it is "non-protein coding lnc-CCDC146-96:5". Lineage: Eukaryota; Metazoa; Chordata; Mammalia; Primates; Hominidae. The record is from RNAcentral.
CUAGCCCAGUGGCUUCCAAACCUGGAGGGUCGGCCUAUUUUCUUUAUUCUACAAGUGCCUCCACUGUGCAGCAAAGUGUGGAAACCACUUGGCUUGAGAGAGCUGGGUCCUCUGGAGCAGUUCAGGGUCACCACAGAAGUAGGCCGUCUCUUGGGCCUAUUCGCCCCAGCUUCGAGGUGGUGGUGCUUUAUUAGUGUUAUUAAGGCUAGAGUGCAGUGGUGCGAUCUCGGCUCACUACAACUCCUACCUCCUGAGUUCAAGCGAUUCUCCUGCCUCAGCCUCCCGAGUAGCCAGGACUACAGUGUCGAGGUCAUGAAAGCCACUGAAAGACUGAGAACUGUUCCAGAAAGGAGACUAGAGAGACAUGGCAGCCAAAUGCUCCACAUAAUCCUGUCCUGGAUUCUUCUCCUACAAAGGAAGGGGUCUGAGGAUUAGGUGGUAGUACUGAAUCAAGGAACUAUCAUCUCCUAUUGUGCUGUAGGCAAACUUGAGUGACAUGGUGGAAGCCACCAGAGAGAAUAUCUGAAGCAAUUCAUUAAAAUCUUGGCAGCCAGACCCCAGCUCCCACUUUCCCUGAAAGCUCCCUUUAAUGAAGCUGAACGCUGUCCCAGCAAUUCCCUCCACAGAAGACCUACUGUCACCACCUCUGGAGGGGCAAUUCCUGGAGGAACCAAGUCAGCCAAUCGAAGGUCCUGAAUAAGCAAAAACUAAGUAAAUAAAUUACCAUCUCGAA